GGCAACUACAGGCCUCUGCUGUUUUUAGAGUUUUAGCACAAAUUCAGGGGUGAAAGGCUGUGUUUAGCACAAGGGGCUAGCACUUUUAUUGUUCAAGUUACCUGUUUUUAUUGCUAUGUGUUUCAUUGUUUGCUGGAUGGGCUUUGUGUGUUAUAAGAGGGCAACUACAGGCCUCUGCUGUUUUUAGAGUUUUAGUCUGAAUUCUGAGGUAAGGCUUUGAAUAGCAGUUUCAGUCAUUGUGGCCUGCUUGCAGAAGUAUAUAUCUUCCAUUGCUGUUAUUACAAUAUAUUUUAUUUAUUUGUUUCAGCGCCAACAACUGCUGAACUACAAGACCUAGAUUUUACACUAACGGAUAUUGAUCUUACCGACAAAGGGUUAAUUGACGAGCGUUACGGUUGUCCGAACCAGCCAAAUCAGAAUGACUUCCACAAAGAGCUAGCGGUGAUACAGCCUGGAUCGAGCAGAACGCAAACGUCCCGCGCUGAAAGAUUGUGUCCGAAGCCAUUCAACCCAAGUGUGUUCCACGGAGAGCUAGCGGUGA
Long non-coding RNA from Fundulus heteroclitus (mummichog), 541 nucleotides. RefSeq lists it as uncharacterized. The record is from RefSeq and is a predicted model, not a curated record. Lineage: Eukaryota; Metazoa; Chordata; Actinopteri; Cyprinodontiformes; Fundulidae. The transcript is spliced from 2 exons.